CUCUUUGUUACGUAAUCCUAUACGAAUGACAAAGACAUAAAAUCAGUGUGGGCGUAAACCAUUUUGAGCGACCAAUUACAAACGAGCCCAUGUUUUCUGUCCUACUCUAUCCACGGAAACAAGCUAGUUCAAAAAACAUAGGCUCGUUUGAGAUUGGUUAAUCACUCAAAAAUAUUUAACGCCCAUUGACUUUUCG
Long non-coding RNA from Maniola jurtina (meadow brown), 196 nucleotides. RefSeq lists it as uncharacterized. NCBI's taxonomy places the organism in Eukaryota, Metazoa, Arthropoda, Insecta, Lepidoptera, Nymphalidae. The record is from RefSeq and is a predicted model, not a curated record. The transcript is spliced from 4 exons.